This 1791-nucleotide long non-coding RNA is filed under the name Mus musculus (house mouse). RNAcentral describes it as "long non-coding RNA chr2:178690499-178692290". The record is from RNAcentral. Lineage: Eukaryota; Metazoa; Chordata; Mammalia; Rodentia; Muridae.
ACUGGAAUUGCCAUUUAUAUCCUCAAUCAAGAGUAGGGAGGAUGCAUGCAUGUUCUUAUACAGGACAGGACACAAACCCAGCUAAUAGUCUUCCCAUACUGAUUUAGGCAAUCAGGACACCCCCCUACUCGCACACACACCUGCUGUGAGGAGCUACUAUGAGGCCAGCACCCGCAGUCUGUGAGGCUGUGCCAACUUGGAGUGUCUGCCUCAGUACUGUGUCUGCAGACUCACUGGUAACCACAGGCUUGCUGGGCCGCCGAACAGAGAUGAGGACUCAGGCUUGGCACUGUGGGCUCAUGUGAGUGGGAGCUCAGUGAACAAGACCCAGGCUAGUCAGGAUGGUCAGGUGACAGGCAGUCAUUUGCUUGAAUGGAAGGGAAGAUUUAGGGACAGUGAAUGGGGUCCUUGGAGUCCAGGGAAGCUAAGAGUUACCUGGAUAUAAUUUUUCUGGGUACUUCUGGACACUGUGGCAUAAUACUCAGCUUAGCUAGAGCUCUGGAGAGAGCAAAGUGUUGGUGACUGAAGAGAAGGAGUCUCUAAUAGGAAGUCAGUGUGUCUUCCGAGAAGGGAAGUGAGGUGCUGGGGCAGUUGGUCAGAUCAGGAGCUCUGUGCACACCAGAGUCCAGGCUCAUCCAGGGCAGAGAAGCCACCCAGGGAAGGGGCCCUACAGGGCCCACCCUUGUUGCAGUGGGUUCUCCUCUGCACUGAACUCAGGACGUCUCCUGACGUGGAAAUUUCUAGUUCUUGGGAAAGUUAGUUAUGCCACAUGAUGUUUUGCUGGGCCACUCAGGUAAAAGGAUGUCUUGCUAAAGCAAACACACGAAAGAAGGCUUUCCUGAAGCAGUCACAGGUGAAAGGUUGUUUGGAUAUGGCAAACACGUGAAAGGACGCUUGAUGAAGGAGUAUAAAUAUGACCUCACGGACAGUGGGGGACGAGCACUGAGCAUUGAUUUGCUUUGCUCUGCCUCGCUAUUCUCUGGUAACAAUACACAUGUAUUAGUUUGCCUUACAUAGCAUUGUUAAGCUCAACUUGUGGUAAUGCUGGCAUUGAGAGAAACUCGCCCAAGAACUGCUUGUGAGGUUGCUGCCGCAGCUUGCCACUUCAGAGGCCUCACCUCAGGACGGCUGGCGAGCCUGGCUGUUUCUUCAGGGUUGAACUACAGCUGCCUGGUGUCUGCUUGCUGAAAGGACUGGAUUGUUAUGGCUGGUUCCUGUCUGGUUUCUGCUUGCCUAGAGGACUAAUCUGCAGCUGCUGAGUCAUGUUUGGUGUUUGCUAAAGGACUGAACUGCUGCCAAAACAGAUCGAGCUCUCCCCCAAAGAACAAUUGCUGAACAGGUCCACUUCCCCCAUAUCCUAAUAACUUUUCAGUUCUAUUACCUCUGCUGGGGGGCGGGGGGUGACUAGAGGAGAGGAUGAACCCUCAUUAAAAGUAGGUUGCAAAAAAAUAUAUGCCUACAGUCUCCUACUGUGCAAGCAAGCUACACUGUCUGCUUCCGGCUAGAACAGGAUACCUAGGGGCCAGAUGUUCUGUAAGUUCCUCCUCAGGGGUGCACCUGAUCCUGCCUUCCUGUCUGAGGCAGAAGGGUGUUUUAUUCUCAGCACUGGGGACAUUCUAAGCCCCACCAUCCUUUGUUGCUUGGGGACAGUCAGGGACCAGUCAGUGUUCUGUGCUGUUUCCAUCAGGGUCCCUACCCUACGCCCACACUAGGCCGGCUACACUCCUCAGUGGUGAUACCCAGAAGUUCCCUGGGUGUGACCUAGUGUCCUUGGCCCUUCCACUAGGCCUC